This 459-nucleotide ribosomal RNA is filed under the name uncultured bacterium. RNAcentral describes it as "partial 16S ribosomal RNA". It matches the Rfam family "Bacterial small subunit ribosomal RNA", at positions 338 to 795 of the family's 1533-position model. The record is from RNAcentral.
CCUACGGGUGGCAGCAGUGAGGAAUAUUGGUCAAUGGCCGGAAGCCUGAACCAGCCAAGCCGCGUGAAGGACGAAGGUGCCAUGCAUUGUAAACUUCUUUUGUCAAGGGACAAAAUCAGGCUCGUGUUCCUGACCGUAGGUACCUGGAGAAAAAGCAUCGGCUAACUCCGUGCCAGCAGCCGCGGUAAUACGGAGGAUGCGAGCGUUAUCCGGAUUUAUUGGGUUUAAAGGGUGCGUAGGGGGACAGUUAAGUCAGCGGUAAAAGGUCGGGGCUCAACCCCGGCGAGCCGUUGAAACUGGUUGUCUUGAGAGGUCGAGAGGUAGGCGGAAUGCGCGGUGUAGCGGUGAAAUGCAUAGAUAUCGCGCAGAACUCCGAUUGCGAAGGCAGCAUACCGGCGGCGAACUGACGCUGAGGCACGAAAGCGUGGGUAUCGAACAGGAUUAGAUACCCUAGUAGUC